UUGUAUGUUUGCAAUAUAAAUCCCAUCCUGAGCGUAUAUAAAAGGUGAGUUGGGCGGGUAGUAGGGCAGGCUGGCAAUGCUGCAGAUGACAUGGUGCAUGUACACACGUGUGCGUCCACACCCACCAUCAUCUGCAUACCACCCACCUACACCACCCCACCCCACACUACCCUCUCGUUCCCACAUCGUGUAUGCGAUUUUGUUAAUGAUCCUUCCGCAGGUUCACCUACGGAAA
Molecule: unclassified non-coding RNA, 235 nt
Filed under: uncultured fungus
Lineage: Eukaryota; Fungi
Description: sequence contains ITS1
Source: RNAcentral